Molecule: ribosomal RNA, 492 nt
Filed under: uncultured bacterium
Lineage: Bacteria
Description: partial 16S ribosomal RNA
Rfam family: Bacterial small subunit ribosomal RNA
Source: RNAcentral
ACUGAACGCUGGCGGUAGGCCUAACACAUGCACGUCGAACGGCAGCUCAGUACGACUUUGCUUUUAUGGCUGGCGACUCGCGCACGAUUGACGAAUACCUCACUCUCUACUUCUUAGUGGGCGACUACGUCGGGCAACCUACUCUAAUACCUCAUACUUCCAUCGGCUGAAAGCAGGGACUAUUUCCCCCUUGCGCGCUCGAAUCACUCGAUCCCGUUUUAGCUAGUUGGCCGGGUAAAGGCCCACCAAGCCUACGAUCUGUAGCUGAUCUGAGAGGAUGCUCAGGCACACUGGAACGGGGAGACGCUCCAGACUCCUACGGGAGGCAGCAGUGAGGAAUAUUGGACAGUGGGCGCAAGUCUGAUCCAGCCAUACCGCGUGGGUGAAGAAGGCCUUCGGGUGGUAAAGCCCUUUUGUUGGGAAAGAAAAGCAGCAGGUUAAUACCCCGCUGUUCUGACGGUACCCAAAGAAAAAGCACCGGCUAACUUCGUG